AAUCAACGCUGGCGGCGUGCCUAACACAUGCAAGUCGAACGAGAAAGUGGAGCAAUCCAUGAGUACAGUGGCGACCGGGUGAGUAACACGUGACCAAUCUACCCUCGAGUGGGGGAUAACUCCGGGAAACCGGAGCUAAUACCGCAUAACAUCUUCGGUACGUAGGUACUGAUGAUCAAAGGAGCAAUUCGCUUGAGGAGGAGGUCGCGGCUGAUUAGCUAGUUGGUGGGGUAAUGGCCCACCAAGGCAAAGAUCGGUAGCCGGCCUGAGAGGGCGCACGGCCACACUGGAACUGAAACACGGUCCAGACUCCUACGGGAGGCAGCAGUGGGGAAUUUUGCGCAAUGGGGGAAACCCUGACGCAGCAACGCCGCGUGGAGGAUGAAGUCCUUUGGGACGUAAACUCCUUUCGACCCGGAAGAUACUGACGGUACGGGUGGAAGAAGCACCGGCUAACUCUGUGCCAGCCGCCGCCGUAA
RNAcentral lists this ribosomal RNA (479 nucleotides) under uncultured bacterium. Its description in RNAcentral is "partial 16S ribosomal RNA". It matches the Rfam family "Bacterial small subunit ribosomal RNA", at positions 32 to 523 of the family's 1533-position model. The record is from RNAcentral.